This 212-nucleotide unclassified non-coding RNA is filed under the name Hevea brasiliensis (rubber tree). The record is from RNAcentral. Lineage: Eukaryota; Viridiplantae; Streptophyta; Magnoliopsida; Malpighiales; Euphorbiaceae.
GUGCAAGUAGGUCCUUUUGAUUCUCUCCAUAUACUGUCCAUAUUCUCAGCUAGCUAAGUCCUUGUUUCUCAAAUUUCCUUUCUGUAAUAUUCUUGUUUGAGAGAUCAAGCCAUGCAUGUCUGUAUAAAUAAAUGAAUAUUGAAAUGUUGCUUUCCAUGACAGAUACCCAUUAUAUUUAGUUCAAGGUCCAUGGAAUUACUGGAGGACAAAUA